CUACCCUUGACAUGUAUGGAAUCCUGCUGAGAGGUGGGAGUGCCCGAAAGGGAGCCAUAACACAGGUGCUGCAUGUUUGUCGUCAGCUCGUGUCGUGAGAUGUUGGGUUAAGUCCCGCAACGAGCGCAACCCUUGUCACUAGUUGCCAACAUUUCGGAUGGGGACUCUAGUGAGACUGCCUAGGUUAACUAGGAGGAAGGUGAGGAUGACGUCAAGUCCGCAUGGCCUUUAUGUCUGGGGCCACACACGUGCUACAAUGGUCGGUACAGAAGGCAGCAAGACCGCGAGGUGGAGCAAAUCCGUAAAACCGAUCUCAGUUCAGAUUGUAGUCUGCAACUCGACUACAUGAAGUUGGAAUUGCUAGUAAUGACGUGUCAGCUAUAACGUCGUGAAUACGUUCCC
RNAcentral lists this ribosomal RNA (402 nucleotides) under uncultured bacterium. Its description in RNAcentral is "bacterial SSU rRNA". It matches the Rfam family "Bacterial small subunit ribosomal RNA", at positions 975 to 1375 of the family's 1533-position model. The record is from RNAcentral.